GACGAACCGUGCGAACGUUAUUCGGAAUCACUGGGCUUAAAGCGCGUGUAGGCGGGCCGGCACGUCGGCGUUGAAAUGUCCCGGCUCAACCGGGGCCCUGGCGCCGAUACGACCGGCCUGGAGGGGGGUAGGGGGACCUGGAACUUCCGGUGGAGCGGUGAAAUGCGUUGAGAUCGGAAGGAACGCCCGUGGCGAAAGCGAGGUCCUGGGCCCUUACUGACGCUGAGACGCGAAAGCCAGGGGAGCGAACGGGAUUAGAUACCCCGGUAGUCCUGGCUGUAAACGUUGGGCACUGGAUAGGGGGCUCGCCGAUGGGCUCCCUGUCGAAGCGAAAGCGUGAAGUGCCCCGCCUGGGGAGUAUGGCCGCAAGGCUGAA
Molecule: ribosomal RNA, 376 nt
Filed under: uncultured bacterium
Lineage: Bacteria
Description: bacterial SSU rRNA
Rfam family: Bacterial small subunit ribosomal RNA
Source: RNAcentral